ACCUGGCUGGCUUAGUCGGUGGAGCACAUGACUCUUGAUCUUGGGGUUGUGAGUUCAAGCCCCACACUGGGUG
This is a non-coding RNA of Canis lupus familiaris (dog), 73 nucleotides long. The record is from Rfam. NCBI's taxonomy places the organism in Eukaryota, Metazoa, Chordata, Mammalia, Carnivora, Canidae.